Molecule: ribosomal RNA, 348 nt
Filed under: Triticum aestivum (bread wheat)
Lineage: Eukaryota; Viridiplantae; Streptophyta; Magnoliopsida; Poales; Poaceae
Description: partial small subunit ribosomal RNA
Source: RNAcentral
AUGAAGACCGGAAAGACGAAGCAGGGCCAAGAUUCAUCUAGCCACGGCCAGGCGGCGCGUAUGACCAAGGGGUGCGCGGCGUUCUUCGUGGGCAACGACGGCGAGGCUUGGCAGCGGUUUGCGGUGCCGGUGACGCUACUCGGGCACCCCGCGAUCGUCGAGCUGCUCGCCGAGGCGUGGGAGAAGUACGGGUACGCACAUGAGGGCGCCGUCGUCGUCCCCUGCAGCGUGGAGCGGUUCCAGAGGGCGGUCGACGCAGCGAGGGCCCAAGAACCGCACCAUCACCAUCACCACUUCCGGCUUCCGCACCUCGCCGGGUGCUUUAGGCCGCCGCAUGUUGUUGCGUAG